AAUCAACGCUGGCGGCGUGCCUCAGACAUGCAAGUCGAACGCGAAAGUUUCCUUCGGGGAACAAGUAGAGUGGCGCACGGGUGAGUAACACGUAGGUAAUCUACCUUUGGAUGGGGAAUAACAACCGGAAACGGUUGCUAAUACCGCAUAAUGCAGCGGCACCUAAUGGUGGACAGUUGUUAAAGCGGGGGAUCGAAAGACCUCGCGUCUGAAGAGGAGCCUGCGGCGGAUUAGCUAGUUGGUAAGGUAAUGGCUUACCAAGGCGACGAUCCGUAACCGGCCUGAGAGGGCGGUCGGUCACACUGACACUGACAUACGGGUCAGACUCCUACGGGAGGC
Molecule: ribosomal RNA, 339 nt
Filed under: uncultured bacterium
Lineage: Bacteria
Description: bacterial SSU rRNA
Rfam family: Bacterial small subunit ribosomal RNA
Source: RNAcentral